RNAcentral lists this unclassified non-coding RNA (835 nucleotides) under Hevea brasiliensis (rubber tree). The record is from RNAcentral. Lineage: Eukaryota; Viridiplantae; Streptophyta; Magnoliopsida; Malpighiales; Euphorbiaceae.
AAAAAAACAAAGUUGAUCUCGCAGUUUGAGUAUUCUUCUGCAACCUCGAAAGGGGAAGGUGGAGAAAUGGCGGUGAGAGGGAAAGCAAUGGUGACGCUGCCGACGUUGGUGCGAGCUAUGAGGAGGAGAACCUCAAAUCAUAUGCCUUCGAAUCAACCGUUGCCUUCACUGAGACGAGCAUUCUCGCUAUACGAUCAAAUCAAUCUCAUCGAUAACGUCCCUGAAGAUCAAAUACGCUUCAAACAGGUUACUGAUACUGGUUUCGGAGUUAAAGGGGUACAUUAUGAAGGUAGCUUGCUUUGUGUUGGGAACUUGCUAAUGUCUUGGCAUCCCAAAAAACUUUCGGAGGUUACUUCAGAAAGCUUAUCUAUCUUCCAGACAGUGCGACCAGUUCCAGAGAUUCUUCUUCUUGGCUGUGGGAAGUACAUUCAACCGGUAAAUCCUGAGCUACGUGCCUUUAUUCGUUCUACUGGAAUGAAAUUGGAAGCAGUUGAUUCUAGAAAUGCUGCAUCAACUUACAAUAUUCUAAACGAAGAAGGUAGGAUUGUGGCUGCUGCCCUUCUCCCAUAUGGAGUAGAGUCAUAAGCCUCUCAUGUACAUGGUUUUUCUUUGACGAGUGAAUAUCUGAUUAAUCAUCCAAGCCAAUCACUUUGUCCCGAGUUUGACGUGACCAUGUUUAAGAUUUGAUGAAAAUGAGAUAAUAACAUUACAUGUUAAUGGUGUGUUAGAAGCUUCUGGGUAUUCCUGGACCAACUAUCUUUAGGAGAUUGUACUUCAAAUAACAUAAACACAGGAAAAGAACUGUUGUUUACCCUUAGUAGAAGCUUGAGGUUCA